RNAcentral lists this ribosomal RNA (340 nucleotides) under Drosophila serrata. RNAcentral's name for it is "28S ribosomal RNA, D2 domain". Lineage: Eukaryota; Metazoa; Arthropoda; Insecta; Diptera; Drosophilidae. The record is from RNAcentral.
CCCGAAGUAUCCUGAAUCUUUCGCAUUGUUAAUCGUACAAGUGCAUAUAAUAAACACAAAAAUCAAUGAUAAUUAUGCCAUUAUAUAAUUCCGAAAAAUUAACGCACUGUAGUCAUAUAAAUCUAUCAGCACUUUAUCAAAUUAAUGACAUUUAUUCUAUGUUAAAAUGCAAGCAUAAUAAUUUGAAUAAACUAUAAGCCAUAUUUUAUGAUAAAUUUAGUUAUGUUAAUAGAUUACAAUGUCCUUAUAUGGAAAAAAUGCACACUAUUAUCAUAAUAUUGUUUAAAUACUACAAGUCUAAUGAUGAAUUUUCCAUAACGGAUAUUCAGGUUCAUCGGGC